CCACGGUACAAAACCAACAAACACAAUGAAUCUCUUCAGCAGCUUCAUCUGGAUUCUGACAGCUUUUAUUCCAGCAGCAUCCAGAGGAAUCACUGUGACUCAGCCUGAAGUUCUGACUGUUUCUGAAGGACAAACCGCUACUAUAGAGUGUAAAACUGAGCCUGGAAUAGAUGGCUGGGGUUUAGCUUGGUAUCAGCAGAAACCUGGAGAAGCUCCUAAACUCAUCAUUUAUGGUGUAAAUGAUCGCUAUGGCAGCAGUUUCAGUCGAUUCAGUGGGAAUGGAGCACGAGGUGGAACUGAUUUCACUCUGAGCAUCAGUGGAGUCCAGACUGAAGAUACUGGACAUUAUUACUGUACGAGUCGACACUCUGUCAGUGGCAACUAUGUGUUCACACAGUGAUAAAGAGUCGUACAAAAACCUCCGUCAGUCAGAGUCACAGAGACUGAACUGAAACACUAUCACUCACUCAACAGAGCAGAAACACAAACAUGAUCUUAAUAUCAAUUAUAUUGAUUAUUAAAAUUAUUUUAAUAUACUAAUUAUUUUUUUUCAGAUCAUUUGUGGUUUAUCUCUUCUAUUCUGAACUCAUUUUUUUAAUCCAUGAUAUUUAUGAUAAAUGUCUUUCUAAUUAUACAUUCUUAUUCUGAAAAGAAUCAGCGGGACAUAAAGAUGUUGUUGCCGAAUAGUUUAUUCAUCAUCUUCCAGUCAAAAAUCUCCAUCCUUGUACAGUUAAUUAAUAGUUGUUUAUGUCUUAUAAAACUACCGCUCAAACGUCAUAACUGUCUCAUGACUCCAUCAGCAGAAGUGAAACUGAUCGAGUUCAGAGAGUUUAACCGAUCAAACAGUGAAACUGUGUUUCUGAGUUUUGAAUUUUCAUGGAUAUUAAAUGAAAUAUAAAGCAUUCAUUCAGUUUUCCACUUGAUACAGUAAAUGUUAAUCUAACACACUUUAUCUUCACUUUAUCUUCAACACAAUAUCGAUUUAUCUAACACUAUAUUUGUGAGCU
Non-coding RNA from Onychostoma macrolepis, 1007 nucleotides. The record is from the annotation of a RefSeq genome assembly. NCBI's taxonomy places the organism in Eukaryota, Metazoa, Chordata, Actinopteri, Cypriniformes, Cyprinidae.